CUAGCCCUAAACCUAGAUAGUUAUACAACAAAACUAUUCGCCAGAGUACUACUCGCAACAGCCUAAAACUCAAAGGACUUGGCGGUGCUUCACACCCACCUAGAGGAGCCUGUUCUAUAAUCGAUAAACCCCGAUAAACCUUACCAACCCUUGCCAAUUCAGCCUAUAUACCGCCAUCUUCAGCAAACCCUAAAAAGGAAUAAUAGUAAGCACAAUCAUCACACAUAAAGACGUUAGGUCAAGGUGUAGCUUAUGAGUUGGGAAGAAAUGGGCUACAUUCUCUGCAUAAGAGCAUCCAUCUAUACGAAAGUUUUUAUGAAACUAAAAACUAAAGGAGGAUUAGCAGUAAAUCAGGAAUAGAGUGCCUGAUUGAAUAAGGCCAUGAAGCACGC
Molecule: ribosomal RNA, 392 nt
Filed under: Potamochoerus porcus (red river hog)
Lineage: Eukaryota; Metazoa; Chordata; Mammalia; Artiodactyla; Suidae
Description: partial 12S ribosomal RNA
Rfam family: Bacterial small subunit ribosomal RNA
Source: RNAcentral